AGAUCCACCCCAAGAAACUUUUGGGCGUAUAGCAAUCUGAAUGCUUUCUCUUUCAUUUCUUGCUGCUAAUAGUGAUAUCUAACAGAUAAAACUGCGAGUCACAUACCAUGAAACUCUUGUGACCAGAAAGACAACAGAAUUUCGAUCUUCUCGUCGUUUGAUUGUGAAGUUUAAGACUUAAGCAACAAAUGCAUAAGCAUAAAAGAAACUUUAAAUGGUUCUUCUAUAACCCCCGCAAGAGGAGGGGGGGGGGGGAAUUACCAGAUAAAACUGCAAGUCACAUACCAUGAAACUCUUGCGACCAGAAAGAAAACAGAAUUUCGAUCUACUCGUCAUUUGAUUGUGAAGUUUAAGACUGUAAGCAACAAAUGCAUAAGCAUAAAAGAAACUUUAAAUGGUUCUUCUAUAACCCCCGCAAGAGAGGGGGGGGGGGGGGGGGGGGAAAAA
RNAcentral lists this long non-coding RNA (447 nucleotides) under Nicotiana benthamiana. RNAcentral's name for it is "long non-coding RNA (NBEN_LNC007059)". The record is from RNAcentral. Lineage: Eukaryota; Viridiplantae; Streptophyta; Magnoliopsida; Solanales; Solanaceae.